Molecule: unclassified non-coding RNA, 23 nt
Filed under: Mus musculus (house mouse)
Lineage: Eukaryota; Metazoa; Chordata; Mammalia; Rodentia; Muridae
Description: oocyte_clustered_small_RNA10605
Source: RNAcentral
AGAGGACGGCGUGUGUGCUACAA